GGAAGUAAAAGUCGUAACAAGGUCUCCGUUGGUGAACCAGCGGAGGGAUCAUUACCGAGUUUACAACUCCCAAACCCCUGUGAACAUACCUAUACGUUGCCUCGGCGGAUCAGCCCGCGCCCCGUAAAACGGGACGGCCCGCCCGAGGACCCCUAAACUCUGUUUUUAGUGGAACUUCUGAGUAAAACAAACAAAUAAAUCAAAACUUUCAACAACGGAUCUCUUGGUUCUGGCAUCGAUGAAGAACGCAGCAAAAUGCGAUAAGUAAUGUGAAUUGCAGAAUUCAGUGAAUCAUCGAAUCUUUGAACGCACAUUGCGCCCGCCAGUAUUCUGGCGGGCAUGCCUGUUCGAGCGUCAUUUCAACCCUCAAGCUCAGCUUGGUGUUGGGACUCGCGGUAACCCGCGUUCCCCAAAUCGAUUGGCGGUCACGUCGAGCUUCCAUAGCGUAGUAAUCAUACACCUCGUUACUGGUAAUCGUCGCGGCCACGCCGUUAAACCCCAACUUCUGAAUGUUGACCUCGGAUCAGGUAGGAAUACCCGCUGAACUUAAGCAUAUCAAUAAGCGGAGGAAAAGAAACCAACAGGGAUUGCCCUAGUAACGGCGAGUGAAGCGGCAACAGCUCAAAUUUGAAAUCUGGCUCUCGGGCCCGAGUUGUAAUUUGUAGAGGAUGCUUUUGAUGCGGUGCCUUCCGAGUUCCCUGGAACGGGACGCCAUAGAGGGUGAGAGCCCCGUCUGGUUGGAUGCCAAAUCUCUGUAAAGCUCCUUCGACGAGUCGAGUAGUUUGGGAAUGCUGCUCUAAAUGGGAGGUAUAUGUCUUCUAAAGCUAAAUACCGGCCAGAGACCGAUAGCGCACAAGUAGAGUGAUCGAAAGAUGAAAAGCACUUUGAAAAGAGAGUUAAAAAGUACGUGAAAUUGUUGAAAGGGAAGCGUUUAUGACCAGACUUGGGCUUGGUUAAUCAUCUGGGGUUCUCCCCAGUGCACUUUUCCAGUCCAGGCCAGCAUCAGUUUUCGCCGGGGGAUAAAGGCUUCGGGAAUGUGGCUCUCUCCGGGGAGUGUUAUAGCCCGUUGAGUAAUACCCUGGCGGGGACUGAGGUUCGCGCAUCUGCAAGGAUGCUGGCGUAAUGGUCAUCAACGACCCGUCUUGAAACACGGACC
RNAcentral lists this ribosomal RNA (1156 nucleotides) under Fusarium equiseti. Its description in RNAcentral is "eukaryotic LSU rRNA". The stretch from base 514 to 1156 matches the Rfam family "Eukaryotic large subunit ribosomal RNA", at positions 1 to 667 of the family's 3401-position model. The record is from RNAcentral. Lineage: Eukaryota; Fungi; Ascomycota; Sordariomycetes; Hypocreales; Nectriaceae.